Long non-coding RNA from Uloborus diversus, 730 nucleotides. RefSeq lists it as uncharacterized. The transcript has 5 exons. Lineage: Eukaryota; Metazoa; Arthropoda; Arachnida; Araneae; Uloboridae. The record is from RefSeq and is a predicted model, not a curated record.
AGCAACUAUCCGAGUAACAAACCUGUCUGAAGAUGUAAGGGACUCUGACUAACAAGAGCUGUUCCGACCUUUUGGGACAAUUGCACGUAUUUAUCUUGCAAAAGAUAAAUCAACAGGGCAGUCUAAGGGUCUCCGCACACUGGGAAAGUAUUGGAUUUUGACGAAGUAAGAAGUAGUUUUCAGUGUUAAAGACAUUAGCUGCAGUUUAGGACCAUCCAAAGUGCUUACAGUACCUCUUCUUUGUUGUCGGAUCCCCAGUGUAUAUCUUUUUCGGCUUUGUUUCAUCUCCAUAUAUCAAAUACUCAAAACCAAUGAGAGCCCUGUUCUCAACAACAUUCCAAACUCUCUGUGAUCAGCUGUUUUUUUUUCUCAAAUGAAGAUAUUUUUUUCCUACAAAUAGAAUCUGCAAGUGGUGAAAUCCUAAGAAAAAGUUGAAUUUUUCCCCCGAUGCAAAUGCUAUACUGAUAUCCACCAUGGAGAUAUGUGAAGUCCCUUGUCUACACUAAUAAACCAGGAACAAUGCAGGACUUGAAAUUCGAAAUUUGGCGCAUAUUAUUGGCGAUAUUCUACUACGAAAAGUUGGAAGCUGGACGUUUAGUUUACAUCAUAAAAUAAUGUUUCAAGUAAAGAAAAAUUAAAGACAUUUUUUGUAACAUCUUUUAGUAUACAUCUACAGUAAAUUUAUUUAUCCUCCUUGAAGGAAUUUUUAAAAUAAAAGCAAAAAUUUAAA